Small nucleolar RNA from Lepus europaeus (European hare), 68 nucleotides. The record is from RefSeq and is a predicted model, not a curated record. Lineage: Eukaryota; Metazoa; Chordata; Mammalia; Lagomorpha; Leporidae.
GUCACUAGUGAUGAGUUGGAUACCGCCCCAGUCUGAUUUCUGUGACUGAAGGUGUUUUCUGACCUGUG